Long non-coding RNA from Erpetoichthys calabaricus (reedfish), 583 nucleotides. RefSeq lists it as uncharacterized. The record is from RefSeq and is a predicted model, not a curated record. NCBI's taxonomy places the organism in Eukaryota, Metazoa, Chordata, Cladistia, Polypteriformes, Polypteridae. The transcript is spliced from 3 exons.
CGACCCCUGUUGGCCGGUAACUCUUUAAAUAUAACCGGCAAGAUUGUCCAGCCAAUCUGCCAACACGUCUACCUCAUGCACCAAUCCUGGUAGACGGUAGCGCAUUCACGCCACGCUCCGCAACACGCCCCGGGCAACUAUGUAUUUAAAACCGAACCCCUGUCGGUCAUGUGCGUGUAUAAACUCUCCAGUACAGACAACGGCUAUGCUGAGCUCAAGCACGCCCGUUGCUGACUCACCAGAUCCAAAGAUCACAUUGCACAGUGGGCUGAGGCAGAAUAUUUACCGCUGAGGAAACUGUCAUUGGUGACAUGGUCAUCACUAUCAAUGCCAUAACACUCCAGGAAAUCCAGGACAGAAUUAUGGCAGACAGUACAGUAUUUGGCAAUGCUGCCAUUGUCCUGUACAGACAUGAAGUAAGCACAAAGCGCUUAUAUACUGUCCCAUUUGAGAGGAACAGUGUACGUGUGAAAGAACUCUGAUACCAAUAUGUCCAGAUUACUUCAGAAUUACCAUGAUGGUGAUGUGGAAGAGGCACGAGGAGCUCACUAAUAAAAUCUCUAACAUCACACAGAGACUGGAC